This 1129-nucleotide long non-coding RNA is filed under the name Gossypium barbadense (sea-island cotton). RNAcentral describes it as "long non-coding RNA (GBAR_LNC006877)". The record is from RNAcentral. Lineage: Eukaryota; Viridiplantae; Streptophyta; Magnoliopsida; Malvales; Malvaceae.
CAUUUUCUUUGUUGCCUAGUUAACCCUAAAACACUUCCCUCGACACUAACGCGCCACCGCGAACUGCGAUCUGCACGUUCAAACUCCAAGGGAGUGGUUUUCGGCCUUGAGAUCCCCUUUAGAUUCCGAUUUCAACGGAAUGAAGGGGAAACGAUGGCCAACUCGCGAGGUAACCUUCUCUUUCGCUUUCUUUUUUCUGUUUUUAUGAUUGAUUUCAAAAUAAAAAAGAAAAUAGAGGCGUAAAAAUAAAAAAGGGAACAACCUCUGAAGAAUAUUCAACUUCUCUGUAUUUGAUUGCUAUUCUUUUUUGUAUAUUACCCGUGUGUAAAAAAAGGAGUUUUUACAAUCAGAAACCAUAGGCUUUAUAGCCGAAUCAUAAAGAAAAAAAAAACAAUUUUUCUUUUUGUUGUUUUUGUUGCUGCUGUGUGGUCGUUUGUUUGCAGGUACGGAGUACGGGCGUGCGCUGGCCCUUGGCGUGAGGCGUACGGGGCUGUGUUGGCGCGGGUACGGGGGCCGUGCUGGAGGGUUGCGGCUACUAGGGAAACCCUAGGUUUCUGUUUAGCUGAAGUUGUUUUAGUUUUGGGCCGUUUGGGCGACGGGAUUUUGGGCUAGGGUUUUAGCUAAUGGAUUUUAAUUGGGUCUUGGGUUAUGUAUUUAAUUUUAGGUUUAGGAUUGUAAAAUGGGCUGAUGGACUGUUAAUAAAUAAUAUUUAUUGGAUUUUUAUUAUUAUUUGGUUUGGAGUUAAUGGGCCGGGCAAAUUGGGUUAUCUACAAUUUAAAUGGUUAAAUAUGCAUAUCAAAAACAAAAUUAAAAAAUACUUUCGAAAAAUCAAUUGAAGGAGUAAGAUGAGUUGGUAGCAAAAAGGAGGUAAUAGCGUUUUUUUGGCACUCAAUCUAGCUUGAUGGUUUGGUUUACUUGGUUCAAAGUAGCCGAAUGCCACAUGUCUUAGGCUCGAGGGUCAUGAGAAUGAAACAAGAAAAAAAUAGUGUUUUUUUAAAUAUUUAAUACGCUAAUACUUGAAUCAGAAUAAAAUAGGAUUAAUUUUAUCUUUGAUAUUUUUUAAACUUUUCACCCACUUUAGUAUGGAAAUCACGUCAUCAUAUUUAUGGAAUAGCAAUUCUCAAAGGGA